RNAcentral lists this ribosomal RNA (440 nucleotides) under uncultured bacterium. RNAcentral describes it as "partial 16S ribosomal RNA". It matches the Rfam family "Bacterial small subunit ribosomal RNA", at positions 338 to 795 of the family's 1533-position model. The record is from RNAcentral.
CCUACGGGUGACUGCAGUAGGGAAUAUUGCUCAAUGGGGGAAACCCUGAAGCAGCAACGCCGCGUGGAGGAUGAAGGUUUUAGGAUUGUAAACUCCUUUUGUUAGAGAAGAUUAUGACGGUAUCUAACGAAUAAGCAUCGGCUAACUCCGUGCCAGCAGCCGCGGUAAUACGGAGGGUGCAAGCGUUACUCGGAAUCACUGGGCGUAAAGAGUGCGUAGGCGGGGUAAUAAGUCAGAUGUGAAAUCCUGUGGCUUAACUACAGAACUGCAUUUGAAACUGUUACUCUGGAGUGUGGGAGAGGUAGGUGGAAUUCUUGGUGUAGGGGUAAAAUCCGUAGAGAUCAAGAAGAAUACUCAUUGCGAAGGCGACCUGCUGGAACAUUACUGACGCUGAUGCACGAAAGCGUGGGGAGCAAACAGGAUUAGAUACCCCUGUAGUC